RNAcentral lists this ribosomal RNA (426 nucleotides) under uncultured bacterium. RNAcentral's name for it is "bacterial SSU rRNA". It matches the Rfam family "Bacterial small subunit ribosomal RNA", at positions 355 to 772 of the family's 1533-position model. The record is from RNAcentral.
UGGGGAAUAUUGGACAAUGGGCGCAAGCCUGAUCCAGCAACGCCGCGUGGAGGACGAAGGUCUUCGGAUCGUAAACUCCUGUCGAGCGGGAAGAACACCUUUCGGGCGAAUAUCCCGGAAGGCUGACGGUACCGCUAAAGGAAGCCCCGGCUAACUCCGUGACAGCAGCCGCGGUAAUACGGGGGGGGCAAGCGUUGUUCGGAAUUACUGGGCGUAAAGGGCUCGUAGGCGGCCAACUAAGUCAGACGUGAAAUCCCCAGGCUCAACCUGGGAACUGCGUCUGAUACUGGAUGGCUUGAAUCCGGGAGAGGGAUGCAGAAUUCCAGGUGUAGCGGUGAAAUGCGUAGAUAUCUGGAGGAAUACCGGUGGCGAAGGCGGCAUCCUGGACCGGCAUUGACGCUGAGGAGCGAAAGCUAGGGGAGCAAA